This 120-nucleotide ribosomal RNA is filed under the name Alternaria alternata. Lineage: Eukaryota; Fungi; Ascomycota; Dothideomycetes; Pleosporales; Pleosporaceae. The record is from RNAcentral.
ACAUACGACCAUAGUUUCAAGACUAUAGCGCUUCCCGUUCGCUCAGCGGUACUCAAGCUUGUAAACGGCGGAUUAGUAGUCAGGUGGGUGACCACUGGCGAAUCCCCGCUGUUGUAUGUU